CCCGGCGGCACUAGCGCGGUGGUCCCACCUGACCCCAUGCCGAACUCAGAAGUGAAACGCCGUAGCGCCGAUGGUAGUGUGGGGUCUCCCCAUGCGAGAGUAGGGAACUGCCGGCA
Molecule: ribosomal RNA, 116 nt
Filed under: Salmonella enterica subsp. enterica serovar Senftenberg
Lineage: Bacteria; Pseudomonadati; Pseudomonadota; Gammaproteobacteria; Enterobacterales; Enterobacteriaceae
Also listed under: 1 other name
Source: RNAcentral